This 657-nucleotide ribosomal RNA is filed under the name uncultured rumen archaeon. Its description in RNAcentral is "bacterial SSU rRNA". It matches the Rfam family "Archaeal small subunit ribosomal RNA", at positions 1 to 657 of the family's 1478-position model. The record is from RNAcentral.
UUCUGUUUGAUCCUGGCGGAGGCUACUGCUAUUGGGAUUCGAUUAAGCCAUGCAAGUCGAACGAAUUUAGAUUCGUGGCGUACGGCUCAGUAACACGUGGAUAACCUACCCUUAGGACCGGGAUAACCCUGGGAAACUGGGGCUAAUACUGGAUAGAUGAUUUUUCCUGGAAUGGUUUUUUGUUUAAAUGUUUUUUCGCCUAAGGAUGGGUCUGCGGCAGAUUAGGUAGUUGGUUAGGUAAUGGCUUACCAAGCCUAUGAUCUGUACGGGUUGUGAGAGCAAGAGCCCGGAGAUGGAACCUGAGACAAGGUUCCAGGCCCUACGGGGCGCAGCACGCGCGCAAAACCUCCGCAAUGUGAGAAAUCGCGACGGGGGGGAUCCCCAGUGCCAUUCCUAAACGGGAUGGCUUUUUCUUAAGUGUAAAAAGCUUUUGGAAAUAGAGCUGGGNNCAGACCGGUGCCAGCCGCCGCGGUAACACCGGCAGCUCUAGUGGUAGCUGUGUUUAUUGGGGCUUAAAGCGUUCGUAGCCGGGUUGGAUAGUCACUGGUGAAAUCCUGUAGCUUAAGGGUGGGAAAUGCUGGUGAUACUGUUGAAACUUGAGUCGGNNAGAGGNUAGCGUACUCCAGGGUAGAGGUGAAAUCUGUAUCCUGGNAGGAC